Molecule: ribosomal RNA, 24 nt
Filed under: Pilobolus kleinii
Lineage: Eukaryota; Fungi; Mucoromycota; Mucoromycetes; Mucorales; Pilobolaceae
Description: partial 28S ribosomal RNA
Source: RNAcentral
AUCUGAAAUCAGAUGAGAAAUGCU